CAUUAGUAGAACCAAAUUGCAUUUUACUAUCAUCAUUUAGCGGGGUAUCAUGCACUUGCACCGUAUUUGCCUGGGAUUUAUUCUUCUUUUGUUUUAGUUCUUGAAACCAUUCUGGGUAACCAUUCAAUUUGAAGCAUGUAUCCCUCACGUGACCUGUUUUGUUACAAUAGUCACAGUAACAACUUUCUUUCUUCCUAGCAUCGCUCUUCUUGAAUUUUCCUUUUCCAUUUUCCCUUUCUUUUUUGUUAUUUGCUCCCUUAACUGCCAUUGCAACUUGAUCGGUCAUAUCCAUUCCCAAAUUAUAAACUUGCCUCUGCUUCUUAACACUCAAAACCAUGGAAUAUGCCUUAUUUACACUUGGCAAUGGAUCUAAAAGCAAUAUUUGGUUACGAACAUGAUCAUAGUUAUCUCCCAAACCGAUUAGAAACCGCAUUAUUUUUUCAGUGUUAUCCAGAUCUGCUAUUGCUUUCGAUACUCCGCAAGAAUAUGCAUCGCAAGUGCACACAGGGAAGGGUUUUAAGCAAUCAACCUCAUCCCAAAGCUUUUUAAGCUUGGUUAAAUACACCAUGAGUGGCAUAUUUCCUUGCGUAAAAGAGCUAAUUUCUCUUUUAAUCUGAUAAAUCAAUGGUCUAUUGCUUUGGCCGAAUCUUUGUUUUAAUUCUUCCCACAAUUGUUUGGCAGUCGUUGCAUGUAAGAAAGCUUGGCCAAAUCUUUAGAAAUUGCAUUGAGAAUUCAGGAAAUCACCAUGCAGUCAACUCACUUCCACUUUGCAAAAUCUGGCGAGUUUGCCGCAGGUUUCUUAGUCUCACCAUUGAUAAAGCCCAGUUUAUCCUUGGUUUGCAAUGCUAUCAACAUUGCAUGACUCCAAGUCAAGUAAUUUGUGCCAUUGAGUUGAGCACUUACCAGCAUCAAGCUGGGGUUAUCAUAGUUCUGAAGUGAAAACGCAUCGUCACCAUAUUGAUGAGCCAUGGUUCUGACUUCUUCUGUACGUCGAGUUUCUUCCGUGAAAACAACUUCAAGAAAGUAACCGUCACCAGAUCUCAGAUUUGAGUCUAGCUUCCUACCUGACAAAUGGGAU
Molecule: unclassified non-coding RNA, 1078 nt
Filed under: Hevea brasiliensis (rubber tree)
Lineage: Eukaryota; Viridiplantae; Streptophyta; Magnoliopsida; Malpighiales; Euphorbiaceae
Source: RNAcentral